This 253-nucleotide ribosomal RNA is filed under the name uncultured bacterium. RNAcentral describes it as "partial 16S ribosomal RNA". It matches the Rfam family "Bacterial small subunit ribosomal RNA", at positions 524 to 776 of the family's 1533-position model. The record is from RNAcentral.
UACGUAGGGUGCGAGCGUUGUCCGGAAUUAUUGGGCGUAAAGAGCUCGUAGGCGGCCACUCAAGUCGAAUGUGAAACCUCGAGGCUUAACCUCGAGCCUGCAUUCGAUACUGGGCGGCUAGAGUCUGGUAGGGGGAUCUGGAAUUCCUGGUGUAGCGGUGGAAUGCGCAGAUAUCAGGAGGAACACCGGUGGCGAAGGCGGCGUUCUGGACUGCAACUGACACUGAUAAACGAAAGCCAGGGUAGCAAACGGG